RNAcentral lists this ribosomal RNA (253 nucleotides) under uncultured bacterium. RNAcentral describes it as "partial 16S ribosomal RNA". It matches the Rfam family "Bacterial small subunit ribosomal RNA", at positions 524 to 776 of the family's 1533-position model. The record is from RNAcentral.
UACGAAGGGGGCUAGCGUUGCUCGGAAUUACUGGGCGUAAAGGGCGCGUAGGCGGCGCAUUUAGUCAGGCGUGAAAUUCCUGGGCUUAACCUGGGGACUGCGCUUGAUACGGGUGUGCUAGAGGACGGAAGAGGCUCGCGGAAUUCCCAGUGUAGAGGUGAAAUUCGUAGAUAUUGGGAAGAACACCGGUGGCGAAGGCGGCGAGCUGGUCCGUAUCUGACGCUGAGGCGCGACAGCGUGGGGAGCAAACAGG